This 468-nucleotide ribosomal RNA is filed under the name uncultured bacterium. Its description in RNAcentral is "partial 16S ribosomal RNA". It matches the Rfam family "Bacterial small subunit ribosomal RNA", at positions 28 to 507 of the family's 1533-position model. The record is from RNAcentral.
GACGAACGCUGGCGGCGUGCUUAACACAUGCAAGUCGAACGGAAAGGCCCUGCUUUUGUGGGGUGCUCGAGUGGCGAACGGGUGAGUAACACGUGAGUAACCUGCCCUUGACUUUGGGAUAACUUCAGGAAACUGGGGCUAAUACCGGAUAGGAGCUCCUGCUGCAUGGUGGGGGUUGGAAAGUUUCGGCGGUUGGGGAUGGACUCGCGGCUUAUCAGCUUGUUGGUGGGGUAGUGGCUUACCAAGGCUUUGACGGGUAGCCGGCCUGAGAGGGUGACCGGCCACAUUGGGACUGAGAUACGGCCCAGACUCCUACGGGAGGCAGCAGUGGGGAAUAUUGCACAAUGGGCGGAAGCCUGAUGCAGCAACGCCGCGUGCGGGAUGACGGCCCUCGGGUUGUAAACCGCUUUCGCUUGUGACGAAGCGUGAGUGACGGUAAUGGGUAAAGAAGCACCGGCUAACUACGUG